AUGGCUGAGCAGGACAUUGGUGCAGCAGAGGAUGCUAUGUUCCAUGCAGACCUGCUUUUGGCUCAAAUGAAAGAAAAACAAAAUGAGAAAAGUACACCCCCUAACCGUGAAAGUAAAUUUCAGUGGAUUGAGAGAGAUUGUGAAGGUCGUCCACUGCUGAAAAGAAAGAGCAGAAGCGGAGAAACGCAUAUGCGUUCUUCAGCUACAGUCAUGAAUCCUUGUGAACCAGCUGAGGAGGUACCCAUGGUGACAGAACAAAACUUGUCUCAACACUUACUUGACAGUGAGAUGCAGAAACUGCAGGAGAUUCUGGCAACAACUGUUGAAGCUUCAGAUGGUCCUCCUUCAACAUCAUCAUCAUGGAGCUUGCGACAGUCUGCAGCCCAAGAUGAGUGGCAGAAAGCAAGGCCCUACCACCUGGACUGCUUGUUGUUCUCCAGGGUGGUCAAGGAAAAUAAAUGCAGUCAGUGCUCAUCUCCUGCCAUUAUUCGUUGCAGAGACUGCAUGCCAGAAGAGUGGCUGUGUAUGGAGUGUGAUAUAAUUUGCCACAAAAAACUGGUACUCCAUAACAGGGAGUCCUGCAUUGAUGGAUUUUACCGGCCCAUUCCGCCAACGGUGUGCUGCGUGAAAGAAAAUGGCAGAUAUACAUUAAAAAAUCAAGUUCGGCUGUUGCCUACAGUGAGACCUGACCGACUGUGCACCUGUGACCCAACAAACAUCACAGAAUCUGCUGGAAGAGCAACUAUUUUGGUUUGCAUAAAUGGUAGGUAG
Cyprinus carpio (common carp) is the source of this 771-nucleotide long non-coding RNA. NCBI's taxonomy places the organism in Eukaryota, Metazoa, Chordata, Actinopteri, Cypriniformes, Cyprinidae. The record is from Ensembl.